GGGGUAACGGCCCAACAAGCCUGUAAUCGGUACGGGUUGUGGGAGCAAGAGCCCGGAGAUGGAUUCUGAGACACGAAUCCAGGCCCUACGGGGCGCAGCAGGCGCGAAAACUUUACAAUGCGGGAAACCGUGAUAGGGGAACCCCGAGUGCCCGUAAAAUCGGGCUGUCCAUCUGUGUAAAUAACAGGUGAAGAAAGGGCCGGGCAAGACCGGUGCCAGCCGCCGCGGUAAUACCGGCGGCUCGAGUGGUGGCCACUAUUACUGGGCUUAAAGCGUCCGUAGCUGGAUUGUUAAGUCCCUUGGGAAAUCCACCGGCUCAACCGAUGGGCGUUCAAGGGAUACUGGCAAUCUAGGGACCGGGAGAGGUGAGAGGUACUCCAGGGGUAGGAGUGAAAUCCUGUAAUCCUUGGGGGACCACCUGUGGCGAAGGCGUCUCACCAGAACGGCUCCGACAGUGAGGGACGAAAGCUGGGGGAGCAAACCGGAUUAGAUACCCGGGUAGUCCCAGCUGUAAACGAUGCGCGUUAGGUGUAUCAGUGACCACGAGUCACUGAGGUGCCGAAGGGAAACCGUGAAACGCGCCGCCUGGGAAAGUACGGUCGCAAGGCUGAAACUUAAAGGAAUUGGCGGGGGAGCACCACAACGGGUGGA
Molecule: ribosomal RNA, 651 nt
Filed under: uncultured archaeon
Lineage: Archaea
Description: bacterial SSU rRNA
Rfam family: Archaeal small subunit ribosomal RNA
Source: RNAcentral